GGGAGAGCACCCCAUUUCCCCUGCUUUCGUGGCAGCCUAUGAGAUGAUUUACUGGAGCUCAGUUUUGGG
Non-coding RNA from Tursiops truncatus (common bottlenose dolphin), 69 nucleotides. NCBI's taxonomy places the organism in Eukaryota, Metazoa, Chordata, Mammalia, Artiodactyla, Delphinidae. The record is from Rfam.